Molecule: unclassified non-coding RNA, 231 nt
Filed under: uncultured fungus
Lineage: Eukaryota; Fungi
Description: sequence contains ITS1, 5.8S rRNA gene
Rfam family: 5.8S ribosomal RNA (bases 183-231)
Source: RNAcentral
UCUCCGUAGGUGAACCUGCGGAGGGAUCAUUACCGAGUGAGGGCUCACGCCCGACCUCCAACCCUUUGUAAUCCAUACCAUGUUGCCUCGGGGGCGACCCUGCCGGCACUUCGUCGCCGGGCGCCCCCGGAGGUCUUCUAAACACUGCAUCUUUGCGUCGGAGUUUAAAACAAAUUAAACAAAACUUUCAACAACGGAUCUCUUGGUUCUGGCAUCGAUGAAGAACGCAGC